This 506-nucleotide ribosomal RNA is filed under the name Phoma sp. 1 TT-2014. RNAcentral describes it as "eukaryotic LSU rRNA". The stretch from base 101 to 264 matches the Rfam family "5.8S ribosomal RNA". Lineage: Eukaryota; Fungi; Ascomycota; Dothideomycetes; Pleosporales; Didymellaceae. The record is from RNAcentral.
UGUCUCUAGUUGAGUCCCUUCGUUUACUCGGCGGGUCCGCCCGCCGAUUGGACAAUUAACCAUUUGCAGUUGCAAUCAGCGUCUGAAAACUUAUAGUUACAACUUUCAACAACGGAUCUCUUAGAGUUCUGGCAUCAGAUGAAGAACGCAGCGAAAUGCGAUAAGUAAGUAGUGAAUUAGCACGAAUUCAGUAGAAUCAUCGAAUCUUUAGAACGGCACAUAUGCGCCCCUUGAGUAUUCCAUAGGGAGCAUAGCCUAGUAUCCGACGCAGUACAUUUAGUACCUAUCAAGCUCUGCUUAGGUAGUAUGGGUUGUUUAGUCUCGCCUCUGCAGCAGCAAGACUCAGCCAUACAAAACAAAUAUNGGCAAGACCAGGCGUAAUAUNGAUUUCAGGAGNCGACAGUACAUCUCGCAGCUAUUUGCACUACAUAACGACAGACGUCCAAAAGUACAUNUAUUACACUCUUGACCUCGGAUCAAGAGUAGGGAUACCCGCAUGAACUUAA